AUUUAAGUAGUUUAAAUAAAACAUUGAUUUGUGGAAUCAAAAAUAUAUAAUUAUCUUAGAUA
Molecule: transfer RNA, 62 nt
Filed under: Monocellicampa pruni
Lineage: Eukaryota; Metazoa; Arthropoda; Insecta; Hymenoptera; Tenthredinidae
Description: tRNA-His
Source: RNAcentral